AGUGAACGCUGGCGGUAGGCCUAACACAUGCAAGUCGAACGGCAGCACAGUAAGAGCUUGCUCUUACGGGUGGCGAGUGGCGGACGGGUGAGGAAUACAUCGGAAUCUACUUUUUCGUGGGGGAUAACGUAGGGAAACUUACGCUAAUACAGCAUACGACCUACGGGUGAAAGCAGGGGAUCUUCGGACCUUGCGCGAUUGAAUGAGCCGAUGUCGGAUUAGCUAGUUGGCGGGGUAAAGGCCCACCAAGGCGACGAUCCGUAGCUGGUCUGAGAGGAUGAUCAGCCACACUGGAACUGAGACACGGUCCAGACUCCUACGGGAGGCAGCAGUGGGGAAUAUUGGACAAUGGGCGCAAGCCUGAUCCAGCCAUACCGCGUGGAUGAAGAAGGCCUUCGGGUUGUAAAGCCCUUUUGUUGGGAAAGAAAAGCAGCAGGUUAAUACCCCGCUGUUCUGACGGUACCCAAAGAAUAAGCACCGGCUAACUUCGUG
RNAcentral lists this ribosomal RNA (492 nucleotides) under uncultured bacterium. RNAcentral's name for it is "partial 16S ribosomal RNA". It matches the Rfam family "Bacterial small subunit ribosomal RNA", at positions 29 to 507 of the family's 1533-position model. The record is from RNAcentral.